UGCCGUGCGGCUCUCAGCGUAGUAAUUNUCUCGCUACAGGGUCCGGACGGUNCUGGCCAGCAACCCCAACUACAUAAGGUUGACCUCGGAUCAGGUAGGGAUACCCGCUGAACUUAAGCAUAUCAAUAAGCGGAGGAAAAGAAACCAACAGGGAUUACCUCAGUAACGGCGAGUGAAGCGGUAACAGCUCAAAUUUGAAAUCUGGCUCUUUCAGGGUCCGAGUUGUAAUUUGUAGAAGAUGCUUCGAGUGUGGUCCCGGUCUAAGUUCCUUGGAACAGGACGUCAUAGAGGGUGAGAAUCCCGUAUGUGACUGGGUGCCUUCGCUCAUGUGAAGCUCUUUCGACGAGUCGAGUUGUUUGGGAAUGCAGCUCAAAAUGGGUGGUAAAUUUCAUCUAAAGCUAAAUAUUGGCCAGAGACCGAUAGCGCACAAGUAGAGUGAUCGAAAGAUGAAAAGCACUUUGGGAAGAGAGUUAAACAGUACGUGAAAUUGUUGAAAGGGAAGCGCUUGCAACCAGACUUGCCCGCCGUCGAUCAUCCGGGGUUCUCCCCGGUGCACUCGGCGGCGUUCAGGCAGCAUCGGUUUCGAGGGUGGGAUAAAGGCCUUGGGAAUGUAGCUUCUUUCGGGGAGUGUUAUAGCCCUCGGUGCAAUGCCGCCUCUCGGGACCGAGGACCGCGCUUCGGCUAGGAUGCUGGCGUAAUGGUUGUAAGCGACC
Molecule: ribosomal RNA, 713 nt
Filed under: uncultured fungus
Lineage: Eukaryota; Fungi
Description: eukaryotic LSU rRNA
Rfam family: Eukaryotic large subunit ribosomal RNA (bases 81-713)
Source: RNAcentral